Molecule: ribosomal RNA, 451 nt
Filed under: uncultured bacterium
Lineage: Bacteria
Description: bacterial SSU rRNA
Rfam family: Bacterial small subunit ribosomal RNA
Source: RNAcentral
UCCAGACUCCUACGGGAGGCAGCAGUGGGGAAUAUUGCACAAUGGGGGAAACCCUGAUGCAGCGACGCCGCGUGAGCGAAGAAGUAUUUCGGUAUGUAAAGCUCUAUCAGCAGGGAAGAAAAAAAUGACGGUACCUGAGUAAGAAGCACCGGCUAAAUACGUGCCAGCAGCCGCGGUAAUACGUAUGGUGCAAGCGUUAUCCGGAUUUACUGGGUGUAAAGGGAGCGUAGGCGGCGCGUUAAGUCUGAUGUGAAAACCCGAGGCUCAACCACGGGAGUGCAUUGGAAACUGGCGGGCUGGAGUGCCGGAGAGGUAAGCGGAAUUCCUAGUGUAGCGGUGAAAUGCGUAGAUAUUAGGAGGAACACCAGUGGCGAAGGCGGCUUACUGGACGGCAACUGACGCUGAGGCUCGAAAGCGUGGGGAGCAAACAGGAUUAGAUACCCUUGUACGC